Molecule: ribosomal RNA, 757 nt
Filed under: uncultured archaeon
Lineage: Archaea
Description: bacterial SSU rRNA
Rfam family: Archaeal small subunit ribosomal RNA
Source: RNAcentral
GGAUAACCUACCCUUAGGACCGGGAUAACCUUGGGAAACUGAGGAUAAUACUGGAUAGGCAAUUUUUCCUGUAAUGGUUUUUUGUUUAAAUGUUUUUUCGCCUAAGGAUGGGUCUGCGGCCGAUUAGGUAGUUGGUUAGGUAAUGGCUUACCAAGCCGUUGAUCGGUACGGGUUGUGAGAGCAAGAGCCCGGAGAUGGAACCUGAGACAAGGUUCCAGGCCCUACGGGGUGCAGCAGGCGCGAAACCUCCGCAAUGUGAGAAAUCGCGACGGGGGGAUCCCAAGUGCCAUUCUUAACGGGAUGGCUUUUCAUUAGUGUAAAGAGCUUUUGGAAUAAGAGCUGGGCAAGACCGGUGCCAGCCGCCGCGGUAACACCGGCAGCUCUAGUGGUAACAAUUUUUAUUGGGCCUAAAGCGUCCGUAGCCGGUUUAAUAAGUCUCUGGUGAAAUCCUGUAGCUUAACUGUGGGAAUUGCUGGAGAUACUAUUAGACUUGAGACCGGGAGAGGUUAGAGGUACUCCCAGGGUAGAGGUGAAAUUCUGUAAUCCUGGGAGGACCGCCUGUUGCGAAGGCGUCUAACUGGAACGGUUCUGACGGUGAGGGACGAAAGUUAGGGGCGCGAACCGGAUUAGAUACCCGGGUAGUCCUAACUGUAAACGAUGCGGACUUGGUGUUGGGGUGGCUUUGAGCUGUCCCAGUGCCGAAGGGAAGCUGUUAAGUCCGCCGCCUGGGAAGUACGGUCGCAAGACUGAAACUUAA